Molecule: ribosomal RNA, 666 nt
Filed under: uncultured Marinobacter sp.
Lineage: Bacteria; Pseudomonadati; Pseudomonadota; Gammaproteobacteria; Pseudomonadales; Marinobacteraceae
Description: bacterial SSU rRNA
Rfam family: Bacterial small subunit ribosomal RNA
Source: RNAcentral
CUGCCCAGUAGUGGGGGAUAGCCCGGGGAAACCCGGAUUAAUACCGCAUACGCCCUACGGGGGAAAGCAGGGGAUCUUCGGACCUUGCGCUAUUGGAUGAGCCUAUGUCGGAUUAGCUUGUUGGUGGGGUAAUGGCUCACCAAGGCGACGAUCCGUAGCUGGUCUGAGAGGAUGAUCAGCCACAUCGGGACUGAGACACGGCCCGAACUCCUACGGGAGGCAGCAGUGGGGAAUAUUGGACAAUGGGGGCAACCCUGAUCCAGCCAUGCCGCGUGUGUGAAGAAGGCUUUCGGGUUGUAAAGCACUUUCAGUGAGGAGGAAAACCUUACGACUAAUACUCGUGAGGCUUGACGUUACUCACAGAAGAAGCACCGGCUAACUCCGUGCCAGCAGCCGCGGUAAUACGGAGGGUGCAAGCGUUAAUCGGAAUUACUGGGCGUAAAGCGCGCGUAGGUGGUUUGAUAAAGCGAGAUGUGAAAGCCCCGGGCUUAACCUGGGAACGGCAUUUCGAACUGUCAGGCUAGAGUGUGGUAGAGGGUAGUGGAAUUUCCUGUGUAGCGGUGAAAUGCGUAGAUAUAGGAAAGGAACACCAGUGGCGAAAGGCGGCUACCUUGGACCAACACUGACACUGAGGUGCGAAAGCGUGGGGGAGCAAAACAGGAAUUA